GCAGAAUUAGGGUAACGUAUGCAUGGUGGAAGAUGCGGAACACGAUGGCUUCGUCCGGAACGCGCAUUCAUCCCUCCUCUCACCCCGUUAUCAUUUGAGGACAAAGAAACUAUAACGCCCACACUCAACGGCGGCGAAGCGGAGCGAGGCUUGCGCUUUUUGCGUUUCUCGAUUGAAGAUUAAAGUGUUUGGUCGGUGGUGAUUCGGUGGCUAUAUAGGCCAGCUCAGUGAACACAGUAUGUCGCACUUAGUGUCCGUGUUUCUUUGUCAAGAGUGUGUCACAAGAUUCUGCGACAGCCUGUUUUUGUCUCCCGACGAACAAUGCACGGAAUAGCCUACAAAGGAGAAUAGGGGGAGCGGACUUCAGCCCAGCUCUGAUAUAGAAGUUUGUGAACCCGAGACUGGAUGUUAUAUACGGGGCUUUUCGCCAGCUCCUGGGAUUCUGUGCACAAGAGCAUUCCAUAGGAGUUAAACCCUCGCACCCACGCCGUUUCCCCUGAAGACCCCCCCUCAGCCCCACC
This is a long non-coding RNA of Conger conger (European conger), 521 nucleotides long. RefSeq lists it as uncharacterized. The transcript is spliced from 4 exons. The record is from RefSeq and is a predicted model, not a curated record. NCBI's taxonomy places the organism in Eukaryota, Metazoa, Chordata, Actinopteri, Anguilliformes, Congridae.